This 2983-nucleotide long non-coding RNA is filed under the name Chlamydomonas reinhardtii. Its description in RNAcentral is "long non-coding RNA (CREI_LNC000621)". Lineage: Eukaryota; Viridiplantae; Chlorophyta; Chlorophyceae; Chlamydomonadales; Chlamydomonadaceae. The record is from RNAcentral.
CACACACGAUCUUUCUUACGGGUCGUCAUCACUGUAUGCUUUAGCGGCCCUUCUUGCCCUUGUUGGCAGCCAUGGGGUCCUUGCGGAUGCGGAUGCUCUUGGGCGUCACCUCCACCUGCUCGUCGUCGUUGAUGUACUCGAGCGAGUCGUCCAGGCCCAUGCUGCGGGGCUCGUCCAGGCCCACCUUGGUGUCCUUGCCGGCGGCGCGCAUGUUGGUCAGCUGCUUGGUCUUGCAGAUGUUGACCUUCAGGUCUCCCGCCUUGGCGUGCAUGCCAAUCACCUGGCCCUCGUACACCUGGUCGCCGGGGCGGCAGAACAUCUGGCCGCGGUCCUGCGCGCUCUCCAGAGCGUACGUCGUGGCCUGGCCGGUCUCGUGCGCCACCAGAGAGCCGUUCUCGCGCAUCAGAAUCUCGCCCGCAACAGGGGCGUACCUGUGGAGGACAGGGGAGGAGGAAUGGGCCGAUGCCGCAGGUUAGCCACCAGGCAGCGCUGUCUUGCUUCUGCACAGUCUCUGGGUUUACUGCACAGAGCAAAGUAGACGUCGGGUCGCCAUGGCCGCGCACUUACUCGAGGAACAGGGUGUUCAUGACGCCCAGGCCGCGGGUGGCGGUCAGCAGCGAGUUCUUCAGGCCCAGUAGGCCGCGGGUGGCGAUACGGAACUUGAUGCGCGAGGCGCCCUGGAUCGAGGGGAUCAGGUCCACCAUCUCGCCCUUCCGCUGGGCGAACAGCUCCACGACGGCGCCCACGUACUGCUCCGGCACGUCCACAAUGGCCUCCUCGUAGGGCUCGCACGUCUUGCCGUUCACCUCGCGGGUGAUGACCUGUACGCAGCAGGACACGUGAUGGGCCCGGGGUGGUUUCAGGUAUGCCUCCAACUCCCAGGCAAAUCAACCCAGCCCGCCAAAAGCAGGGACUUCGUGCAGGCCCGGCUCUAUCCUACGGACGCCGUGUCCCGUAACCCCCCUCCCCCGCAGAAAAAUUAGCGGUGGGCGCACCUUCGGGGGGCCAAUCUCGAACUCGUAGCCCUCACGACGCAUGUUCUCAAUGAGGAUACCCAGGUGCAGAGUACCGCGGCCAGACACCACGAACGAGUCCGAGGUCUCACCGGGCUCCACGCUGCAAACACAAGAGCCAGGCAAUAGGGGGUCAAUGUGAUGUUCACAAAGAAGCUAGACGCGGUCCAGCUCCUUGUUGUUCAACCAAGCCACCUUAGUCACGAACACCCCGCCUCAAUAGUACACGUGAGCGGUGUUUUGGAUGCUGACGACACCUAGCACGCUCGCCCCGGGCAUUUGUGCGCGCCUGUCACGGCCGCUGCUCCUGGGUGUCUCACCGCAGCGCCAGGUUACGCUCCAGCUCGCGAUCCAGGCGGUCCUUCAGGUUGCGCGAGGUCACGAACUUGCCCUCCUUGCCGGCGAAGGGCGAGGUGUUGACCUUGAAGGUCAUGUUCACGGUUGGGUCCUCCACCUGAAGCGGGCGCGCAAAGAGCCGCAGGCGCGGGGCGCAAGGUCAACUCCUGUCGUGAAUACCAUGCUUUACCCAGGCGCCUGCCCUUGCAUCGUGCAACCCAUGGACCUCUGUUCUGUGGAAAAGCUGACAUCAUGGCAACAAGGGUGUGCUGUAUCUAGAGUAUAGAUUGUGGGCUGUACGCUCCAGGCGCCCUGCACGCCCCGGCCGCGAGUGGGGCCGUGAGGACAUGGCAUCGGGCGGCUGGUGCGGGCGAACGACAGGCUUCCCCGGCGCCGCUGACUUCAUUGUCGGCAAGCACAAGCACCGACGCGCCACUAGUUGAGACGCGUUAGUGACUCUAGCCGCCGUGUACAUGCGUGUACGUUGCUAAGCGCCUGAUCCUUUUCCAUACUCAGGCCCCGUUGUCUAUGGAACCCCGACCCUCGUACCUGGAUGGUGGGCAGGGGCACGGGGUUCUCGCGCUGGGUGAUGGUCUCGCCGAUCUUGAUAUCGGCAAUGCCCGACAGCGCACAGAUGUCACCAGCCGCCACCUCAUCGACCGGCACGCGGCUGAAGUUGUCGUACACGAACAGCUCAGCGAUCUUGGCCUGGCGCACCUGCGGGCCAAAAUGGAUUGGGGAACGCAAGGCAUGCGGUUAGGGCAAACAACAUCUUUGCGAUUCCGCCCAGAUCGAAGGUUGCAAUGUGGCCUGAUAAGUGCCCUUCCGGUGCUGGCUUCCAACGCACCUUGCCGGGCUCCAGCGAGGAGCAGAUCGAGAUGGUCUGGCCACGCUUGAUGGUGCCGCUGCUGACGCGGCCGAUGGCGAUGCGGCCCUUGUGCUCAUCGUAGUCGAUGUUGGCGCACAGCAGCUGCAGGGGCGCCGCCGGCUGCACGGAGGGCGGGCGGAUCUGCACAGGGGCGGAGGUGGACAGGGGCCGGCAUAGCGACGUCAGCAUGAUAUCCAAAGCAGCGAAGCUACAACCUCACGCAUGUGUGUACCGUUCCCCGGAUGCCAGCAGCAGCGCCACGGGUAGGCAGCAGCAGCAGCCCGGUCUCACCUCCUUGACAAUGGUCGCAAACAGGGGCUCCAGGUCCUCAGCCAGCGUCUCCGGGGUCAUGCCGGCAAUGCCAUUCACACCUGCGGUCCACAAACAGACGACCAACAACAGGAAAUCAGUCAUGCGUCCGACAUACGCCAACGCGCCGCUGGCACAACCCCCGCCGCAGCCGCGCACCUACGCACCCAUGCAUCCAGCAGCCCCUGAACCCAAGCCCGUGGUCCCUGUCGCCACCCGCCCACACCUGACCGCUAGCUCUGCCGGCCGAGCCCAAACACCACGCACCCGAGGCGUAAACCACGGGGAACUCGCACAGCUCGUCGGAAGCGCCCAAGUCCAUGAACAGCUCGAAGGUUGAGUCAAUGACCCAGUCGGGGCGGGCGGCGGGGCGGUCGAUCUUGUUCACAACCACCACCACGCGCUUCUGCAGCUCCAGCGCCUUGCGCAGCACGAAGCGGGUCUGGGGCAUGGGGCC